RNAcentral lists this ribosomal RNA (440 nucleotides) under uncultured bacterium. Its description in RNAcentral is "partial 16S ribosomal RNA". It matches the Rfam family "Bacterial small subunit ribosomal RNA", at positions 338 to 795 of the family's 1533-position model. The record is from RNAcentral.
CCUACGGGAGGCAGCAGUAGGGAAUAUUGCUCAAUGGGGGAAACCCUGAAGCAGCAACGCCGCGUGGAGGAUGAAGGUUUUCGGAUUGUAAACUCCUUUUGGUAGAGAAGAUAAUGACGGUAUCUAACGAAUAAGCACCGGCUAACUCCGUGCCAGCAGCCGCGGUAAUACGGAGGGUGCAAGCGUUACUCGGAAUCACGGGGCGUAAAGAGCGCGUAGGUGGGAUAGCAAGUCAGAUGUGAAAUCCUAUGGCUUAACCAUAGAACUGCAUUUGAAACUGUUAUUCUAGAGUAUGGGAGAGGUAGGUGGAAUUCUUGGUGUAGGGGUAAAAUGCGUAGAGAUCAAGAGGAAUACUCAUUGCGAAGGCGACCUGCUAGAACAUAACUGACGCUGAUGCGCGAAAGCGUGGGGAGCAAACAGGAUUAGAUACCCGGGUAGUC